AGCUUUGCGCAGUGACAGUAUCGUAGCCAAUGAGGUUUAUCCGAGGCGCGAUUAUUGCUAAUAGAAUAAAAGGCUGAGAAAUAGCCUUAGAAAGAGGUUGACCUUCUUCUUUAUAGUCUUAACUUUAGGACCAAG
This 135-nucleotide small nuclear RNA is filed under the name Octodon degus (degu). RNAcentral describes it as "U4 spliceosomal RNA (ENSODEG00000023720.1)". It matches the Rfam family "U4 spliceosomal RNA". From Rfam's summary of the family: U4 small nuclear RNA (U4 snRNA) is a component of the major U2-dependent spliceosome. The structure of U4 snRNA from yeast and human has been reported. Lineage: Eukaryota; Metazoa; Chordata; Mammalia; Rodentia; Octodontidae. The record is from RNAcentral.